This 329-nucleotide long non-coding RNA is filed under the name Nicotiana benthamiana. RNAcentral's name for it is "long non-coding RNA (NBEN_LNC027376)". Lineage: Eukaryota; Viridiplantae; Streptophyta; Magnoliopsida; Solanales; Solanaceae. The record is from RNAcentral.
AAUCUACCGGAGCUUGGGUUUCAUCAUCAUCAUCAUUUCCCUCUAAUAUAGGUGCAUUAGGAUAAAGAGCAUUCAUAAUAUCAUCGUCUAUUCUAUCACCUACUGCUACAUCAUGUAGAAAAUCAAUAUCGCUAAAUUGAAAACACGGGUGAUCACUAUCAAGGAUUCCGAAGGGUUCAUUAGGACUUCUAGGUUGGCUACUACUUUUAACUUGCUUAUGUUUUCUAGGUCGGGGAGCCGGGGGAGGGGUAGUAUUUUGGCCACUACUUUCACCGGUUUUAGCUUUUCCUUUACCGAACAUAUUUUUCAACGGAAAUGCCAUAAUAAUU